UCAAGUCAUCAUGCCCCUUAUGUCCAGGGCUUCACACAUGCUACAAUGGCCGGUACAAAGGGCUGCGAAGCCGUGAGGUGGAGCGAAUCCCUGCAAAGCCGGUCUCAGUUCGGAUCGGGGUCUGCAACUCGACCCCGUGAAGUCGGAGUCGCUAGUAAUCGCAGAUCAGCAACGCUGCGGUGAAUACGUUCCCGGGCCUU
RNAcentral lists this ribosomal RNA (200 nucleotides) under uncultured organism. RNAcentral's name for it is "partial small subunit ribosomal RNA". It matches the Rfam family "Bacterial small subunit ribosomal RNA", at positions 1185 to 1382 of the family's 1533-position model. The record is from RNAcentral.